CAGUUGAGUAGUUUAUUGAAAAUUUAAAUUUUGGGGAUUUAAGAUCUCUUUGG
RNAcentral lists this transfer RNA (53 nucleotides) under Benedenia seriolae. RNAcentral describes it as "tRNA-Pro". Lineage: Eukaryota; Metazoa; Platyhelminthes; Monogenea; Capsalidea; Capsalidae. The record is from RNAcentral.